UAUGGUGUGUAGCUCAGUGGUGAGAGUACUUGCUUAGCAUGUGCAAAGCCCUGGGUUCAUUUCCCACCACCAAAA
This 75-nucleotide transfer RNA is filed under the name Marmota monax (woodchuck). Its description in RNAcentral is "tRNA.Ala". Lineage: Eukaryota; Metazoa; Chordata; Mammalia; Rodentia; Sciuridae. The record is from RNAcentral.